Dreissena polymorpha is the source of this 2061-nucleotide long non-coding RNA. RefSeq lists it as uncharacterized. NCBI's taxonomy places the organism in Eukaryota, Metazoa, Mollusca, Bivalvia, Myida, Dreissenidae. The transcript is spliced from 2 exons. The record is from RefSeq and is a predicted model, not a curated record.
CAUUGUGUAUCCCUCCGUGGUCCAUUCGAAAGUAGUGCCUAUUUCUAAAGAGUUCCUUUUCUCUUCUUGAAUAUAAGCCAUUUAACAAUGUGAGACAUGACUUUUGUGGUUAUUUGUAAUAUCCUGUAUGUGUCUGGAGUACUUUGAUGCCUUGGAUUGGAAGCUAACUUAAAAGAUGAACUUUUGAGGGUGUGUUUUCUAUUGUGUGGGGCUUUUGUCGAAAUUAGGAUUCCGAAACACGUUUUUCUACGGUGGGUUCAUUCGACAGCGAUUUACUUUCUUAGAAGUUGCGAGACGGUAUGUUUUUGAUUGCAAUUAUUGGAAGAUGACAGAUCCAUCUUUAAAAUGAUACCAGGUUCGGAAAAAUUGAUACGUCGGAAAGGCAAGAAAAAUGCUGUGAAAGUUGUCAGUUUUAUAAUGGGACCCUAUGGGAAUCGGAAUUAGUGUAAUAUAACCUUUAAAAAGCACAUUUACUGCAAUGUCAAGGUCACAUGGAUUCGUCUGCAAGCGAGACAAGUAGAAAAUGAAUUUUAAUGAAUGUUUUGAUGAUUUGGGUGCUAAAAUAGAUGAGAGGUGUCAAUAUUUUGGUCCAAAUGGAUGUUUUAGGUGGUUUUAGACGGUUCCGGAUGGGUGGGGGACCUGGUAUGGACAAGUAAGGGUAACAUUUCCAACAAAUCUUAAAUGUAAAUAUUAUUAUGUCCAUAGAUUGAAGUUUCAGGUGGAGAGCAAGAUGAAAAAUAUGCAAAAUUACAUGCAUGCAACCCAUUUAUGCCAUUUUUCUCUUUGUUUGUAGGCCUGACCGUUUGUCCUUGAGCCGUAGAUGGUCAACAAUCCGCUAGCUGUCUUGCUCUGACUGGUGCACUGGACAUGAUUUCAAUGCGAGUCAUCAUACUGAUUGUUUAAUUAACACAUGAAUUUCAGUUUGUUCGUUAAAGUACUAACUUAGCUGUGUAUUUUUACAGUGGACGUAGUGGUGCGGUGCAGCUGGUAGACUAGGUUUUUCCAUAUGUACACUAUGUUUACAGAAUUGCGGCCAGUGGAGCAACAUAGCUGAUGAGUUAAUAGCACUAGUUCUUCAGACAAAUAACUUUAUUUUCAACCUAUAAAGCAUAUUUAGCUGUAGGUGGGGCCAAUUAGCUGUAAGAUCUGGCUUUUGUUCUGUUAAGCCCUUAGAGUAAUGAAUUUCAGAGUGAAGACCAUAGCGCCUUUUCCUAGUCAAGUAUCGGGCAGCUGUAUGUCUUUUCAGAAAUGCACAUGUCUUUUUAAGCAUGUCAUUGUGUUUGCUUUUAAUAAGAUAGGCAAUAAACUCAUAACCUUUAGACAAAUGAGCAUCUGUAAAUUCAGAUUUCACUAUUUCAGAGUCAGCCAGACCAUGAUUGAGCUUAAGGAUUGUGCUGCGGAUGCAGCCUGUGCAGUUCCGGGAGAAAGUCACUGUCUCGGGCAAUGCGGUCUGGUAUCAGGUCUGGAUGAUCCUUGCCUGACUGCGGGUUUGUGUACACCUCAAUCCGACUCUGUGUCCUGAACAGAGGCCGCAGUGGUGCAGCGCUUGUGGACGAUCCAUCAACAUCCUGAAAGGUCAACACUACACCAAGCUGGAAAAAUUGAUCCUGAUAGUCAUCCCCAGGUAGUGGAAUGAAUGUUCACUGAACUACAGAGGAAUCACACCCAAAUGACUUUCCUGCCACGACAUUAGUGUGGCCACUCGCGUAGGAAUUCCUUAGCAAACAUGCUCUUUUGCAUGGUGACUGUGGACAUUUUUGCAAAACUUACGCUUUCAACACUGGAUUUUAAAGAGAAUACUUAAUAAAAUGUCGCUAACAGGACUUAUUUAUAUGAGAGAGACUAUCUGGAUGCGCAUUAAGUGUCACUUUGUGUCGUAAGCUGUUGAAGGAGCGAUUUGCGCCUUUUUAAGUGUUAAUUUUGGGUAGCCGGCUUGUAUCAGCUUGAAAGCUGAAAAUUAUGCCUCUCAUCAUAAUAGCAUUAAUUUUUGUAAUUGCAAUGUGUAUGUUUAGAUUGUAAGUGAAGCUUUUAAUAACAAUUUUCUUAAAAAACAUGAUUUUA